UAGGCUAACUAGGCUAGGCUAAACUGAAUUAAGAUAGGCUAAGCUAAACUAAGCUAGUCUACGCUAGGCCAGGCUUGACAGGGUUAGGCUAAACUAAGCUAACCUAGGCUGCAUGCAUGCUAGAGAUGCCCUCACUAGAACCCUGUGAAUGUGUAGGAAGGAGUAUAGUUGCAGUUUUGUACUUAUUUUGGAUAUCAUUCUCUAUCAUUCACAUUAUCAGACCCUGGUCAAAUACACCAUAUCUAUGUUGUUUCCAUUCUGGGGAUAGUUUCAGUCAGGGAAGGAGCGGGUACACUAUUUCCUGUUAGGGGUGGUUGAGUUCAGGGUAUGUGGGGGUAGGGUUAAGUGUAGGGUAGGUGGGGUUGGUGGAGUGUAGGGUAGUGUGGUUCAUGUCAGGAUCCUAACUCGGCUAACAAAGCUAAACAAGUAUACAUCAAUGGAAAACAGGAAGCAAAAUCCAACAAUCUGUCCUCCCAUUGGCUAGUCCCUAGGAACAUCAUCAUUCAGUGUGCGUCCGUGCACACACAAGUGUGUAUUUAAAUGUGUACUGUAUACUCAGCAUAUGGUAUGCUGACAUAUUAAUCUCCAAGGAAACAGCUGGCUUCAUGUGUGGUUAUUAUGAGCUACAUAGUUUACAAGGUUUGCUCCUCUAGCUAGCUGUGUACAGCGCUGGUGUCCUCCAGGCUACAGACGUGCUUCACUCUGGACGUGCCUGGGGACCUGCUGUACCACAGACCCCUCCAGCCCUCCAGGCCAGGGGUCCAGCCGUGCCCUCCAGGCCAGGGGUCCAGCUGUGCCCUCCAGGCCAGGGGUCCAGCUGUGCCCUCCAGGCCAGGGGUCCAGCUAUGCCCUCCAGGCCAGGGGUCCAGCCGUGCCCUCCAGGCCAGGGGUCGGGGGUCACGCUGACUGUCUUGUAGGGAAAGGCAGCGACUGUAGGUGCUGCUCUAAAGAUAAACAAUCUCAAUAUAAUUACUUUUUUUAUUUUUUGCUGAGGCUGCAGCCAGAGAAUACCAGAGAGGUGGAGGGAGAGAGAAGGGGAUAUAGAGGAGAAGGGAAGGCAGAGAAUGUGUGUGUGUGUGUGAGAGAGAGUGAGUAAGCAUAAAGGUGUAGAUCAGCACCUUCAUGAAUCCUUUCUCCUUAAUCGCUCUGGAUCGAUGUGGGUAUAAAUCUACGUCACCUUUGACCCCAACUCAAACAAUCAAUAGCUUUAAAUCCCUCUGCUCCACAAAAGGCUGUGUUUGCAGAUAAGCACACACACACUGACACACAGUAAGGAUAGUGCUGGGGUUUCCUUGGAGAUGUCUGCAGUCUGAGUCUAGGUUCGCCAUGUCUCCUCAUCCUACUUCCUUCUUCCUGUCUGUCUCUGCAUGAGACUUCCUGUCAUAUCAUACACCUUUUAUUGCCUUUUUCUGUUGCCUUCUUCUUUGAGUUGUUUUUCUUAGUUUUUCUUUUUUAAAUGAAAUAUAUCAAAUAUAGGGAACUUUAUUAUAAUGCGGGUGUUGCAUGAAUGUCUGUUUACAUGGGAAAUUAUGUAAAAACAAAAGAUGAUUUAUCAAAAUAUUGCAAAGAUGAUUUAAAGAACGUUGUUAGUAGAGAUUCCUAGUUGUAAAGGACAAGGCGGUCUUGUUGCCAUGUCGAUAGAAUCUGCCCUGCCAAAACUGGCUAGUGCCCAGCCAACCCAAUGCACCCUCUCACCCGUCCUCCCUUACCUCUCACCCCUGCCCCCUCACCCCUGCCCCCUCACCCCUGCUCCUUGCCCCCUCACCCCUGCCCCCUUACCUCUCACCCCCAC
Osmerus eperlanus (European smelt) is the source of this 1792-nucleotide long non-coding RNA. RefSeq lists it as uncharacterized. Lineage: Eukaryota; Metazoa; Chordata; Actinopteri; Osmeriformes; Osmeridae. The record is from RefSeq and is a predicted model, not a curated record. The transcript is spliced from 3 exons.